RNAcentral lists this ribosomal RNA (440 nucleotides) under uncultured bacterium. RNAcentral's name for it is "partial 16S ribosomal RNA". It matches the Rfam family "Bacterial small subunit ribosomal RNA", at positions 338 to 795 of the family's 1533-position model. The record is from RNAcentral.
CCUACGGGAGGCAGCAGUGGGGAAUAUUGCACAAUGGGGGAAACCCUGAUGCAGCGACGCCGCGUGAGUGAAGAAGUAUUUCGGUAUGUAAAGCUCUAUCAGCAGGGAAGAAAAUGACAGUACCCGACCAAGAAGCCCCGGCUAACUACGUGCCAGCAGCCGCGGUAAUACGUAGGGGGCCAGCGUUAUCCGGAUUUACUGGGCGUAAAGGGAGCGUAGACGGUUAUGUAAGUCUGGAGUGAAAGCCCGGGGCCCCACCCCGGGACUGCUUUGGAAACUGUGUAACUGGAGUGCAGGAGGGGCAUGCGGAAUGCCUGGUGUAGCGGUGAAAUGCGUAGAUAUCAGGAGGAACACCGGCUGCGAAGGCGGCCUGCUGGACUGAAACUGACGUUGAGGCUCGAAAGCGUGGGGAGCAAACAGGAUUAGAUACCCGGGUAGUC